UCGGCCCCGGUUCACGUGACGCAGUCCGCGUCGCGACCCGGCGCC
Streptomyces oceani is the source of this 45-nucleotide non-coding RNA. NCBI's taxonomy places the organism in Bacteria, Bacillati, Actinomycetota, Actinomycetes, Kitasatosporales, Streptomycetaceae. The record is from Rfam.